RNAcentral lists this ribosomal RNA (1657 nucleotides) under Shigella flexneri. RNAcentral describes it as "partial 23S ribosomal RNA". It matches the Rfam family "Bacterial large subunit ribosomal RNA", at positions 1 to 1691 of the family's 2925-position model. Lineage: Bacteria; Pseudomonadati; Pseudomonadota; Gammaproteobacteria; Enterobacterales; Enterobacteriaceae. The record is from RNAcentral.
GGGUUGUGAGGUUAAGCGACUAAGCGUACACGGUGGAUGCCCUGGCAGUCAGAGGCGAUGAAGGACGUGCUAAUCUGCGAUAAGCGUCGGUAAGGUGAUAUGAACCGUUAUAACCGGCGAUUUCCGAAUGGGGAAACCCAGUGUGAUUCGUCACACUAUCAUUAACUGAAUCCAUAGGUUAAUGAGGCGAACCGGGGGAACUGAAACAUCUAAGUACCCCGAGGAAAAGAAAUCAACCGAGAUUCCCCCAGUAGCGGCGAGCGAACGGGGAGCAGCCCAGAGCCUGAAUCAGUGUGUGUGUUAGUGGAAGCGUCUGGAAAGGCGUGCGAUACAGGGUGACAGCCCCGUACACAAAAAUGCACAUACUGUGAGCUCGAUGAGUAGGGCGGGACACGUGGUAUCCUGUCUGAAUAUGGGGGGACCAUCCUCCAAGGCUAAAUACUCCUGACUGACCGAUAGUGAACCAGUACCGUGAGGGAAAGGCGAAAAGAACCCCGGCGAGGGGAGUGAAAAAGAACCUGAAACCGUGUACGUACAAGCAGUGGGAGCACGCUUAGGCGUGUGACUGCGUACCUUUUGUAUAAUGGGUCAGCGACUUAUAUUCUGUAGCAAGGUUAACCGAAUAGGGGAGCCGAAGGGAAACCGAGUCUUAACUGGGCGUUAAGUUGCAGGGUAUAGACCCGAAACCCGGUGAUCUAGCCAUGGGCAGGUUGAAGGUUGGGUAACACUAACUGGAGGACCGAACCGACUAAUGUUGAAAAAUUAGCGGAUGACUUGUGGCUGGGGGUGAAAGGCCAAUCAAACCGGGAGAUAGCUGGUUCUCCCCGAAAGCUAUUUAGGUAGCGCCUCGUGAAUUCAUCUCCGGGGGUAGAGCACUGUUUCGGCAAGGGGGUCAUCCCGACUUACCAACCCGAUGCAAACUGCGAAUACCGGAGAAUGUUAUCACGGGAGACACACGGCGGGUGCUAACGUCCGUCGUGAAGAGGGAAACAACCCAGACCGCCAGCUAAGGUCCCAAAGUCAUGGUUAAGUGGGAAACGAUGUGGGAAGGCCCAGACAGCCAGGAUGUUGGCUUAGAAGCAGCCAUCAUUUAAAGAAAGCGUAAUAGCUCACUGGUCGAGUCGGCCUGCGCGGAAGAUGUAACGGGGCUAAACCAUGCACCGAAGCUGCGGCAGCGACGCUUAUGCGUUGUUGGGUAGGGGAGCGUUCUGUAAGCCUGUGAAGGUGUGCUGUGAGGUAUGCUGGAGGUAUCAGAAGUGCGAAUGCUGACAUAAGUAACGAUAAAGCGGGUGAAAAGCCCGCUCGCCGGAAGACCAAGGGUUCCUGUCCAACGUUAAUCGGGGCAGGGUGAGUCGACCCCUAAGGCGAGGCCGAAAGGCGUAGUCGAUGGGAAACAGGUUAAUAUUCCUGUACUUGGUGUUACUGCGAAGGGGGGACGGAGAAGGCUAUGUUGGCCGGGCGACGGUUGUCCCGGUUUAAGCGUGUAGGCUGGUUUUCCAGGCAAAUCCGGAAAAUCAAGGCCGAGGCGUGAUGACGAGGCACUACGGUGCUGAAGCAACAAAUGCCCUGCUUCCAGGAAAAGCCUCUAAGCAUCAGGUAACAUCAAAUCGUACCCCAAACCGACACAGGUGGUCAGGUAGAGAAUACCAAGGCGCUU